ACCAGUCUCUUCUACUUCAAAAGCCAGACUCUCUAGAGCUGGAGCCCCUUCCUAUUUCGGGUUCCCACAGCCCAGGAAGACGGAGAGUGGCCAGUCUGGGCCACAGAACUCGUGGGCAGGAUCUGAGCAUGCUGCCGAGGAUAUGUUCCACCCCCAAGAUUCAGCCCUGUUGCCAGCAAAACACAGGGUCUUGUGUCAGGAGAUGUGGGAAGGUAUGGGACUGGCCACCAAGGAAACGCUGAGUUAGGAGCCAGACAAGGAAAUCAUAAAGGCUAUUGAGCACCGGAGCGUCAGCACAGUUGAUGAGGUUCCACGCCAGGGGUGGGAGAAUACAGACAGGAAGGACGCUGCCACUUACAUGGUUACUUUGGCCUCAUGGAAAAUCCCCAAAGUCCAGAAGGAGGGAAGCAAGAAGGAAAGACAGUGACAGACAAAGUGCCUU
Molecule: long non-coding RNA, 442 nt
Organism: Bubalus bubalis (water buffalo)
Lineage: Eukaryota; Metazoa; Chordata; Mammalia; Artiodactyla; Bovidae
Exons: 3
Source: RefSeq, a predicted model, not a curated record